UAUGUUUUUGAGAUUAUUUGUCAUUUCUGUGACCAGAGGGAUGCAGUGAUUAAAACUGAAAGUAGUUCAGAGUGACAGCUGCAUAGAUAUAUGAAUGUGUGUUGAUAAGAUGUCCUUGACCCAAUAACACUAAGAUGAUGCCACAAAGAAGAGUUGUCAAGGUUCAGGAUCCAGUUUCACAAGUUAAUACAUGACAGAUUCAGAAUUGGGGUGUGUCUUUUUCCUUUCUUGCCCAAUUUGACUGGAUUUUUAAGUAGUAGCAAAUAAACUUAGAUCAUGAUAAUGUUGUGCAAGAAAAGGUUUGACUUUGUAAUGAAUAACUAUUAAUAAAUGCCAAAGACAAUGAUUGGCAACAAGGAUUGCUGCAGUGUUUGGCUCAUGUAACUAUCAGAAAUGUGACAUAAAUAGCUUUAUCCUUUAUUGUGCCUCAGUGGGGAAAUUAAUUUGUAACAGCAGCAACGCUACAGAGCAUUGAGGCAUGCAGGUUUUCAGUGUAAUAUGAGAUCAUCUCAUUUAUCCAAUGUUACUGAUUCCAUCGUAACAGUGAAAGAACAAAAGUUUAAAGAAGUAGGGCUUGCAUAUUUUGAUGUCUAAAUUUAUGUGAGCAUCAAAAAGACAUAAAACUAUGUUAAGUUUAAAAGAAAGUUAUCCCUUCUACAGGCCUUCAAGUCAAAGACUAAUUGAAGAACCAAUCCCUGAUUAGACUUAGAAAUAAACCUUUAAAGAUUGAUAAUACAAAGAAAUUUCCAAAACUAACAGCAGAAUAAGACUUCAGUACAAUCAAUGAGAGCGCUGUUUCUUAGCUAUUUGGUUCUAAGUAAAUCUUGUUUUAAUCCUUUCUGUACUUAAGCUUAAGAAUAAAUAAUUAUCAGAAAAUUGUAAUGA
This is a long non-coding RNA of Xiphophorus couchianus (Monterrey platyfish), 885 nucleotides long. RefSeq lists it as uncharacterized. The transcript has 2 exons. NCBI's taxonomy places the organism in Eukaryota, Metazoa, Chordata, Actinopteri, Cyprinodontiformes, Poeciliidae. The record is from RefSeq and is a predicted model, not a curated record.